AGUGAACGCUGGCGGUAGGCCUAACACAUGCAAGUCGAACGGCAGCACAGUAAGAACUUGCUCUUACGGGUGGCGAGUGUCGGACGGGUGAGGAAUACAUCGGAAUCUACUUUUUCGUGGGGGAUAACGUAGGGAAACUUACUCUAAUACCGCAUACGACCUACGGGUGAAAGCAGGGGAUCUUCGGACCUUGCGCGAUUGAAUGAGCCGAUGUCGGAUUAGCUAGUUGGCGGGGUAAAGGCCCACCAAGGCGACGAUCCGUAGCUGGUCUGACAGGAUGAUCAGCCACACUGGAACGGAGACACGGUCCAGACUCCUGCGGGAGGCAGCAGUGGGGAAUAUUGGACAAGGGGGGCAAGCCUGAUCCAGCCAUACCGCGUGGGUGAAGAAGGCCUUCGGGUUGUAAAGCCCUUUUGUUGGGAAAGAAAAGCAGCAGGUUAAUACCCCGCUGUUCUGACGGUACCCAAAGAAUAAGCACCGGCUAACUUCGUG
This 492-nucleotide ribosomal RNA is filed under the name uncultured bacterium. Its description in RNAcentral is "partial 16S ribosomal RNA". It matches the Rfam family "Bacterial small subunit ribosomal RNA", at positions 29 to 507 of the family's 1533-position model. The record is from RNAcentral.